UACGAAGGGGGCUAGCGUUGCUCGGGAUCACUGGGCGUAAAGGGUGCGUAGGCGGGUCUUUAAGUCAGGGGUGAAAUCCUGGAGCUCAACUCCAGAACUGCCUUUGAUACUGAGGAUCUUGAGUAUGGGAGAGGUGAGUGGAACUGCGAGUGUAGAGGUGAAAUUCGUAGAUAUUCGCAAGAACACCAGUGGCGAAGGCGGCUCACUGGCCCAUUACUGACGCUGAGGCACGAAAGCGUGGGGAGCAAACAGG
This 253-nucleotide ribosomal RNA is filed under the name uncultured bacterium. Its description in RNAcentral is "partial 16S ribosomal RNA". It matches the Rfam family "Bacterial small subunit ribosomal RNA", at positions 524 to 776 of the family's 1533-position model. The record is from RNAcentral.